GAGUGACGUUUGGGGCAAAACUA
Molecule: non-coding RNA, 23 nt
Filed under: Arabidopsis thaliana (thale cress)
Lineage: Eukaryota; Viridiplantae; Streptophyta; Magnoliopsida; Brassicales; Brassicaceae
Source: RNAcentral